Molecule: ribosomal RNA, 200 nt
Filed under: uncultured bacterium
Lineage: Bacteria
Description: partial 16S ribosomal RNA
Rfam family: Bacterial small subunit ribosomal RNA
Source: RNAcentral
UGCAACUCGCCUAUAUGAAGCUGGAAUCGCUAGUAAUCGCGAAUCAGAAUGUCGCGGUGAAUACGUUCCCGGGUCUUGUACACACCGCCCGUCACACCAUGGGGAGGUUGGCAACGCCCGAAGUCAGUGACCCAACCUUAACAGGAGGGAGCUGCCGAAGGCGGGGGCUGAUAACUGGGGUGAAGUCGUAACAAGGUAAC